Molecule: ribosomal RNA, 450 nt
Filed under: uncultured bacterium
Lineage: Bacteria
Description: partial 16S ribosomal RNA
Rfam family: Bacterial small subunit ribosomal RNA
Source: RNAcentral
GUGGGGAAUAUUGGACAAUGGGCGAAAGCCUGAUCCAGCCAUGCCGCGUGAGUGAAGAAGGUCUUCGGAUUGUAAAGCACUUUAAGUUGGGAGGAAGGGCAGUAAGUUAAUACCUUGCUGUUUUGACGUUACCGACAGAAUAAGCACCGGCUAACUUCGUGCCAGCAGCCGCGGUAAUACGAAGGGUGCAAGCGUUAAUCGGAAUUACUGGGCGUAAAGCGCGCGUAGGUGGUUUUGUAAGUUGGAGGUGAAAUCCCCGGGCUCAACCUGGGAACUGCCUCCAAAACUGCAUGACUAGAGUACGGUAGAGGGUAGUGGAAUUUCCUGUGUAGCGGUGAAAUGCGUAGAUAUAGGAAGGAACACCAGUGGCGAAGGCGACUACCUGGACUGAUACUGACACUGAGGUGCGAAAGCGUGGGGAGCAAACAGGAUUAGAUACCCUAGUAGUCC